UUGACCUCGAAUCAGGUAGGAAUACCCGCUGAACUUAAGCAUAUCAAUAAGCGGAGGAAAAGAAACCAACCGGGAUUACCUCAGUAACGGCGAGUGAAGCGGUAACAGCUCAAAUUUGAAAUCUGGCUCCUUCGGAGUCCGAGUUGUAAUUUGUAGAAGAUGCUUUGGGUUGUGGGUUCGGCCUAAGUUCCUUGGAACAGGACGUCAUAGAGGGUGAGAAUCCCGUAUGUGGCCGAGGCCUGCGCCUGUGUAAAGCUCUUUCAACGAGUCGAGUUGUUUGGGAAUGCAGCUCAAAAUGGGUGGUAAAUUUCAUCUAAAGCUAAAUAUAGGCCAGAGACCGAUAGCGCACAAGUAGAGUGAUCGAAAGAUGAAAAGCACUUUGGAAAGAGAGUUAAACAGUACGUGAAAUUGUUGAAAGGGAAGCGCUUGCAACCAGACUUGGGCACUGCUGAUCAUCCAGAGUUCUCUCUGGGGCACUCGACAGUGCACAGGCCAGCAUCGGUUCGGGUGGCUGGAUAAAGGCCGUAGGAACGUAGCUCCUCUCGGGGAGUGUUAUAGCCUGCGGUGCCAUGCAGCCCAGCCGGACCGAGGACCGCGCCUUCGGGCUAGGAUGCUGGCGUAAUGGUUGUAAGCGACCCGUCUUGAAACACGGACCAAGGAGUCUAACAUCUAUGCGAGUGUUUGGGCGUUAAACCCAUACGCGGAAUGAAAGUGAACGYAGGUG
This 724-nucleotide ribosomal RNA is filed under the name Erysiphe arcuata. RNAcentral describes it as "eukaryotic LSU rRNA". It matches the Rfam family "Eukaryotic large subunit ribosomal RNA", at positions 1 to 737 of the family's 3401-position model. Lineage: Eukaryota; Fungi; Ascomycota; Leotiomycetes; Helotiales; Erysiphaceae. The record is from RNAcentral.